GACGAACGCUGGCGGCGUGCUUAACACAUGCAAGUCGAACGGAAAGGCCCUGCUUUUGUGGGGUUCUCGAGUGGCGAACGGGUGAGUAACACGUGAGUAACCUGCCCUUGACUUUGGGAUAACUUCAGGAAACUGGGGCUAAUACCGGAUAUGAUCUCCUGCUGCAUGUUGUGGGUUGGAAAGUUUCGGCGGUUGGGGAUGUACUCGCGGCUUAUCAGCUUGUUGGUGUGGUAGUGGCUUACCAAGGCUUUGACGGGUAGCCGGCCUGAGAGGGUGACCGGCCACAUUGGGACUGAGAUACGGCCCAGACUCCUACGGGAGGCAGCAGUGGGGAAUAUUGCACAAUGGGCGGAAGCCUGAUGCAGCAACGCCGCGUGCGGGAUGACGGCCUUCGGGUUGUAAACCGCUUUCGCCUGUGACGAAGCGUGAGUGACGGUAAUGGGUAAAGAAGCACCGGCUAACUACGUG
Molecule: ribosomal RNA, 468 nt
Filed under: uncultured bacterium
Lineage: Bacteria
Description: partial 16S ribosomal RNA
Rfam family: Bacterial small subunit ribosomal RNA
Source: RNAcentral